GACGAGCCGUGCGAACGUUGUUCGGAAUUACUGGGCGUAAAGGGCGCGUAGGCGGCCUGGCAAGUCAGGAGUGAAAGGCCUGGGCUCAACCGAGGAACUGCUUUUGAUACUGCCAAGCUAGAGUGCGGAAGGGGCAACUGGAAUUCCCAGUGUAGCGGUGAAAUGCGUAGAUAUUGGGAAGAACACCUGAGGCGAAGGCGGGUUGCUGGGCCGACACUGACGCUGAGGCGCGAAAGCGUGGGGAGCAAACAGG
RNAcentral lists this ribosomal RNA (253 nucleotides) under uncultured bacterium. RNAcentral's name for it is "partial 16S ribosomal RNA". It matches the Rfam family "Bacterial small subunit ribosomal RNA", at positions 524 to 776 of the family's 1533-position model. The record is from RNAcentral.